RNAcentral lists this ribosomal RNA (505 nucleotides) under uncultured Desulfobulbus sp. Its description in RNAcentral is "bacterial SSU rRNA". It matches the Rfam family "Bacterial small subunit ribosomal RNA", at positions 903 to 1382 of the family's 1533-position model. Lineage: Bacteria; Pseudomonadati; Thermodesulfobacteriota; Desulfobulbia; Desulfobulbales; Desulfobulbaceae. The record is from RNAcentral.
CCACGCCCGCUCAGAAACUACAAAUGAAUUGACGGGGCCCGCACAAGCGGUGGAGUAUGUGGUUUAAUUCGAUGCAACGCGAAGAACCUUACCUGGUCUUGACAUCCCGGAGACCCUUAGGAAACUAGGGGGUGCUUCCAUCUGGAAGAAUCUGGAGACAGGUGCUGCAUGGCUGUCGUCAGCUCGUGUCGUGAGAUGUUGGGUUAAGUCCCGCAACGAGCGCAACCCUUGCCUUUAGUUGCCAGCAGUUCGGCUGGGCACUCUAAAGGGACUGCCGGUGUUAAACCGGAGGAAGGUGGGGAUGACGUCAAGUCCUCAUGGCCUUUAUGACCAGGGCUACACACGUACUACAAUGGCCGAUACAAAGGGCAGCGACACUGCGAGGUGAAGCCAAUCCCGUAAAAUCGGUCUCAGUCCGGAUUGGAGUCUGCAACUCGACUCCAUGAAGUUGGAAUCGCUAGUAAUCGUGGAUCAGCAUGCCACGGUGAAUACGUUCCCGGGCCUU